RNAcentral lists this ribosomal RNA (517 nucleotides) under uncultured bacterium. Its description in RNAcentral is "bacterial SSU rRNA". It matches the Rfam family "Bacterial small subunit ribosomal RNA", at positions 8 to 526 of the family's 1533-position model. The record is from RNAcentral.
AGAGUUUGAUCCUGGCUCAGAAUGAACGUUGGCGGCGUGGAUUAGGCAUGCAAGUCGAGGGCGAACCCGCAAGGGGGAGACCGGCGAACGGGGUAGGACAACCUCGGUAACGUACCCUUCGGACGGGGAUAGCGGCGGGAAACUGCCGGUAAUACCCGAUGAUCUGGCGAGCUUGUGAUGCUUGUCAGCAAAGGUGAGAUUCCACCGGAGGAGCGGCUGAGGCGCUAUUAGCUUGUUGGCGGGGUAACGGCCCACCAAGGCGACGAUGGCUAGGGGGUGUGAGAGCAUGGCCCCCACCACUGGCACUGAGACACUGGCCAGAACCCUACGGGUGGCUGCAGUCGAGAAUCUUCGGCAAUGGGCGCAAGCCUGACCGAGCGACGCCGCGUGCGGGAUGAAGGUCUUCGGAUUGUAAACCGCUGUCGGAGGGGAUGAAGUGCCGGAGAGCAAUCUCUCCGGUUUGACAGAGCCUCGGAGGAAGCACGGGCUAAGUUCGUGCCAGCCGCCGCGGUAAUUC